GCCCGCCUAGCUCAAUCGGAUAGAGCGUCAGACUCUUAAGCACUAGGCGGUUUGCUGAUCUGAAGGCUGCGAGUUCGACCCUCGCGGUGGGCU
This is a non-coding RNA of Armillaria fumosa, 93 nucleotides long. Lineage: Eukaryota; Fungi; Basidiomycota; Agaricomycetes; Agaricales; Physalacriaceae. The record is from the annotation of a GenBank genome assembly.